AUGGAAGGUCUGAUGCAUCUUGACUUAUCAAGUUGUUGGAGUCUGAAAGAACUCCCACAUUCGUUUGUGAGGCUCAAAGAGUUGGUAUAUCUGGACUUUUCAUACAGUCCUGGUGUUUUAGGAAUACCUGGAUCUUUGGCCGGCCUUACCAAACUCCAACAUUUGGGAUUAUCAAAAUGUAAAAAUCUCGGAGGAUUGCCCGAAGUCAUCGGCAAUCUCAGUGAGCUCCGCUAUCUGAAUCUAUCAGACUGCAUGCAUCAUAUCUUCUUUGACGGCUCGUCAAUAGAUCAAACCGAGAGUUUUAUUGACCAUAUUUGCACCCUUCCUUAUAUGGAGCACCUGGAUCUGUCUUGUAAUGGUUAUCUUAUAAGUAUACCAGAGAGUGCUCGUUGCCUCAGGAAACUAGUCCUUGACAAGUGCAGGCAAGUUGCCAGGCUUCCAGAAUGUGUGGCUAAAAUGGACCCUCGAAGCCUUUUUGGCUUAUUGUUGCCAACAUUUUCUGUAACUGCAGAUGACAGUAAAUGUAACACCAACCUUGGCUUGCUUGAGCAUAUAAAUCCGGAUGAGCUAAAAAUUGAGAAACUUGAAAAUGUAAAGUUCCGAGAAGAGGCACGCAAUAUAAAGCUGAGUGAGAAACAGAGGAUUGGAGAACUGAAAUUAAUCUGGGACCCACAAGCUAAGAGAUCUGUGGAUGACAUGGAGUUGUUGAGGGAGCUAGUGCCACCAACCACUUUGAAGAGGUUUGUGAUAUGUGGUUAUAGUAGUGUCAGCUUUCCAGACUGGCUAAUGAGUAUUGGCAAUUAUCUCCCUAAUGUUGUCCGAAUGGAGAUGUUUGAUUUGCCCAACUGCAACAGUUUUCCACCCCUCGCCCAACUACCACCAAACCUCCGGGUGCUUACUCUGAAACGCAUGGAAAGCCUGGAAGAAUGGAACACGACACUCUCUAUUGGUGAGGAUGAGCUCAUGUUCCGUAAGCUUGAGAAAGUGAAUAUACAUUUUUGCCCCAAGUUGAGGAUAACACCACACCUUCCUAGAGCUGCAUCUUGGAGUAUAAUGGAAAGUGAUAAUUUGCUCAUAUCAUGGGCCGAAAGCGUGUCACACAAUGGUGCUUCCUCAUCUUCUCCAGUAGGAGUAUCUACUAAUCUGGCAGUUGAAAGCAGCAAGGUGCCUCUGCGCCAGUGGGCAUUGCUUCACCAUCUACCUGCCCGCAGUGAUUUGGACAUCCAAUGUUGCAAUGAUUUGACAAGCACACCAGAGAUCACCUGGGCGCUCCAGGCCCUCAAAUCACUGACACUGCAGUUCUCUGCCCAAUCAAAACUGCCGGAAUGGUUAGGUGAGUUGACAUCUCUUGAGAAACUAGCGAUAGUGUACAACAAGGAGCUAGAGGAAUUGCCCGAUAACAUGAGGCGACUGAAACAGCUACAAUCAUUGACACUGGAUGCCUGUUGUAGCUUGGAACGUCUGCCACUAUGGUUAGGAGAACUCACCUCUCUCAAAAAACUUGCAAUUUUUGGUUGCAAUGCUAUCACGACAUUGCCAGAUAUCUUACAACAGCUCAUAAAUCUCCAAGAAUUAGAAAUUGUCGACUGCCCUAACUUAGAGCAGUGGUGUGAAGCAGAGGAGAACAAGACGAUGCUUGCUCAUAUAGAACAAACGAGUAUCAUCUCUUUGUAUCUUUCCCCGAUGAGGGAAGCCAUUCCCGCCACCUCCAGCCGCCGCUCUUUCCCAUUCUGGUGGCCUUGCUGCAAACAAUGA
RNAcentral lists this ribosomal RNA (1755 nucleotides) under Triticum aestivum (bread wheat). RNAcentral describes it as "partial small subunit ribosomal RNA". The record is from RNAcentral. Lineage: Eukaryota; Viridiplantae; Streptophyta; Magnoliopsida; Poales; Poaceae.